Molecule: transfer RNA, 79 nt
Filed under: Candidatus Woesebacteria bacterium RIFCSPHIGHO2_12_FULL_46_16
Lineage: Bacteria; Candidatus Woeseibacteriota
Description: tRNA-OTHER
Rfam family: tRNA
About the family: Transfer RNA (tRNA) molecules are approximately 80 nucleotides in length. Their secondary structure includes four short double-helical elements and three loops (D, anti-codon, and T loops).
Source: RNAcentral
GUCCAGCUAGCUCAAUUCGGCAGAGCACCCGGCUAAUUCGAAACUGGGGAGGUUCGAGGUUCGAGUCCUCGGCUGGACG